RNAcentral lists this ribosomal RNA (275 nucleotides) under uncultured bacterium. RNAcentral describes it as "partial 16S ribosomal RNA". It matches the Rfam family "Bacterial small subunit ribosomal RNA", at positions 338 to 604 of the family's 1533-position model. The record is from RNAcentral.
CCUACGGGGGGCUGCAGUAGGGAAUUUUGCGCAAUGGACGAAAGUCUGACGCAGCAACACCGUGUGAGGGAUGAAGCAUUUCGGUGUGUAAACCUCUGUCGAUGAUGAAUAAAGCAUGUGGGAGUGGAAAGCCCAUGUGUUGAAGGUAAUCAUGAAGGAAGCACCGGCUAACUCUGUGCCAGCAGCCGCGGUAAUACAGGGGGUGCAAGCGUUGUUCGGAAUCACUGGGCGUAAAGGGAGCGUAGGCGGAACUACAAGACAGAGGUCAAAUCUCC